CAUGCCCACCACCGUGGACGAUGUCCUGGAGCAUGGAGGGGAGUUUCAUUUUUUCCAGAAGCAAAUGUUUUUCCUCUUGGCUCUGCUCUCGGCUACCUUCACGCCCAUCUACGUGGGCAUCGUCUUCCUGGGCUUCACCCCUGACCACCGCUGCCGGAGCCCCGGAGUGGCUGAGCUGAGUCUGCGCUGCGGCUGGAGUCCUGCAGAGGAACUGAACUACACGGUGCCCGGCCCAGGACCUGCGGGCGAGGCCUCCCCAAGACAGUGUGGGCGCUACGAGGUGGACUGGAACCAGAGCGCCUUUGGCUGCGUGGACCCCCUGGCCAGCUUGGACACCAACAGGAGCCGCCUGCCACUGGGCCCCUGCCGGGACGGCUGGGUGUACGAGACGCCUGGCUCCUCCAUCGUCACCGAGGUUUGGCCGUAAGCUCUGCCUCCUAACUACAGUCCUAAUAAAUGCUGCAGCUGGAGUUCUCAUGGCCAUUUCCCCAACCUAUACAUGGAUGUUAAUUUUUCGCUUAAUCCAAGGACUGGUCAGCAAAGCAGGCUGGUUAAUAGGCUACAUCCUGAUUACAGAAUUUGUUGGGCGGAGAUAUCGGAGAACAGUGGGGAUUUUUUACCAAGUUGCCUAUACAGUUGGGCUCCUGGUGCUAGCCGGGGUGGCUUACGCACUUCCUCACUGGAGGUGGUUGCAGUUCACAGUUACUCUGCCCAACUUCUUCUUCUUGCUCUAUUACUGGUGCAUACCUGAGUCUCCCAGGUGGCUGAUCUCCCAGAAUAAGAAUGCUGAAGCCAUGAGAAUAAUUAAGCACAUCGCAAAGAAAAAUGGAAAAUCUCUACCCGCCUCCCUUCAGUGCCUGAGACUUGAAGAGGAAACUGGCGAGAAAUUGAACCCUUCAUUUCUUGACUUGGUCAGAACUCCUCAGAUACGGAAACAUACUAUGAUAUUGAUGUACAACUGGUUCACGAGCUCUGUGCUCUACCAGGGCCUCAUCAUGCACAUGGGCCUUGCAGGGGACAAUAUCUACCUGGAUUUCUUCUACUCUGCCCUGGUUGAAUUCCCAGCUGCCUUCAUGAUCAUCCUCACCAUCGACCGCAUCGGCCGCCGUUACCCUUGGGCUGCAUCAAAUAUGGUUGCAGGGGCAGCCUGUCUGGCCUCAGUUUUUAUCCCUGGUGAUCUACAAUGGCUAAAAAUUAUUAUCUCAUGCUUGGGAAGAAUGGGGAUCACAAUGGCCUAUGAGAUAGUGUGCCUGGUCAAUGCUGAGCUGUACCCCACAUUCAUUAGGAAUCUUGGCGUCCACAUCUGUUCCUCAAUGUGUGACAUUGGUGGCAUCAUCACGCCAUUCCUGGUCUACCGGCUCACUAACAUCUGGCUUGAGCUCCCGCUAAUGGUUUUUGGCGUGCUUGGCUUGGUUGCUGGAGGUCUGGUGCUGUUGCUUCCAGAAACUAAAGGGAAGGCUUUGCCUGAGACCAUCGAGGAAGCCGAAAAUAUGCAAAGACCAAGAAAAAAUAAAGAAAAGAUGAUUUACCUCCAAGUUCAGAAA
Molecule: small RNA, 1544 nt
Filed under: Pongo abelii (Sumatran orangutan)
Lineage: Eukaryota; Metazoa; Chordata; Mammalia; Primates; Hominidae
Description: processed transcript
Source: RNAcentral